CCGCUUUGCUGAAGUUUCGUAAGUGAGCCUAGGAUACAGAGCUGCGGAGUGCCUCACAGUCAGUGAAAGGAGAAAGAUACAGUGGAGAGAAGCAGUAGGCAGACAAAGUUGCAACCUUCAAGUACUCCACAUUAAGCAGCAACGGGGACAAAACCAGCCAGCCUUUUCCAGAAUUUACUCUUGAAAUUUCAGUUGAGUUCACAUGGAAUUUGUGGCCUGCUGCAAGGCAAAGAUCCCUCCAGAGACCAGACAGGAUGUACUUGGGCUGGGACUUAAUUCGGCUGCUCACACACAGGCAUCUAUUACCAUCUGAGAUCCCUUAAGAAGUCUAAGAAGCACACGGGACUGGAAGACAUGACACACAGAACCUCGAUGAGCAGUUAGAUGUGUCCUGGCCUCCCCACUGGAUCUAGACUCAACUGCAAUGAAAGGUUCUGAAGGAGGCACAAGGAGGAUUCAGAAGAUCCAGGACCUUGCAUCACCUUUGGAAGCAUGAAGCAUAUUGAUUUGUGUGGAACGUUGCUGAUCCAGAAGAGGAGUCUACCACUGCUGGGGCCUUGUUCUCAACUUCUUCCCCUGGCUAUGCUGAAACACAAGUAGUAACUAAAACAUACUUCAGUUCUGAGAGAAGACCAAACCUAUUCCUUUGAUGCUGAGCAAAUCUAACUUCAGGGAAUACGCCUGCCAGCAGAUUCCCAGAACUCUGCUAGUUCAAAUCCCCGCCAGCACCCAGGAUCACAGGGCUGUGUGGAGAGGAGCCCAGGGGACAAAAGAGGACAAAUACCUCUCACUUGAGAGCUCACUAGAGAGUAUGCUCUAAUGGAGUCCUCCAAGUGUCCUUAAUUCUAUAUCUGUUCAGUGUGCCCAUGGUAUUGUCUGAUUUUUAAUUUUUGCACAGUUUCUGACGUAUCUCAUUACUACCUUGGCACCUGAGGGCUGUGAUUUGCAGUACAGGGUCCAUUCCAGACCACACUGAAUUAUAUCAGAAUUCCAAGGCAUGUUUGGCAGCUGCUAAUAGUGGCUGGCUAUUUUUAGAUUUAUUUUUUAUGUACUUCUCUCAGUUCAAAUCUGUCCUAUUUAAACUCUAUUUAAAAAAUACAGACCAAUUUCAGACCAGCAAUAUUUUUCUUUCAAUUUCAGGGGUAUAUUUCUCCUGCUUACAAAAAAGACCUUUUCACUUACCUUGCCUCUAAUUCAAUUUUUUCUAGACUGUGUUGUAACUAUUUUGAGCCUCAAUCUUUAUCUCACCAGGAACUGUGUGAAAUUGUCUCUCAGAAAGAGGAUUGAAUUCCCUCUUGAACCCUUUGCACAAAGGGAAAUUUUUUUCACACAUCCAGUGAUACCUAUUUCUGUAUUCUGAACAUAAGCAGGUCAGUAGAUAUCAGAUUUUUUAUGGCCCUGCCCCUUGGUCUUUGCUGUUUGAGUGCUGUCAGAUUUGCACUGCUCUAAUUCACAGAGCCAAAUUCAGUGACCCCCAGUGCUUGACAAUGGCUGGGGCUGUUUGCCGAGCUCAGGGCAGCAGAGGGAGUGGGAUUUGGCAGCUUCAGGGCCAGUAGCAGCAAGCAGAAGAAAACUUUUUCUGUCUUAUCUCAGCUGAACCCACACAGCUAUUGCCCUACGUGGACCUAAUUUUGUCCAAAACUCAUUGUUUUAGACAAUGAUAGGAGGGAAAUGUCAAGGGAAAAUGUACAGUUAAUUUUCCAAAGCAGCUGCCAAAACUGUCACAAACAUAUACAUACAGAGGAAAUAAUCAUACAGUACUAGUGAUGCUAAAUCCUCUCUGAAGCUGUUUUUAGCAUUUUACUGAGUGAUGACAUUCCCAAAGGAAGGAGGUGUGCCCUGUAGUCUAUCAGCAAAGUAUGAAAUGUAUUAGUAGGUCAUGCAAAAGUGAUUUGGCAAAAUCUCUAAUGCGAGCACAGUUAUUCCCAUUUUGGUUACAGUUUCAAGUUUGUUGUAACAUAGGAGCCACGUAUACAAACACUUGACAAAGUGAUAGGUAACAAAUGAGGAUUCUGCAACAUGUAGCGCUAUCACACCUUCUAAAGCACUGUCUCCACAAAAUAAUUUCCCUAAAAGAUUUAAAGCCUACUUGAUUUCUGACUGCCAGAGAUAUCAGCUUCCAUUUUCUAAUACUAGAUUUCUUUGGAAUGUGCAAUGGAGCAUGACAGCAGAUGAAAAAUCUGGCUUGUUUAGUGGCACGGUUUGGGGUUGAACAUUGGAAAGGGGAACUAGCUUUUUUUUUCUUGAUCACUGAUCACUGCUUGAAGCUUCCUCAGUACUGUGAAAUACUUAUAAUGAUUACAACUACUGCAAAUAAAUGUAUAUAAAGGGAAAAAGAAAUCUAGAAAGACAAUUUGAAUAUAAAGAUCUCCAGCUGGAAACAUAGGGAUAGACUCUUCUCUCUCUCUUUCUUGUAUAAAUUUGAAUUAUUCUAAAUUUUAAAAGGAAAAGAACUUACCUUGUUACAAAUUUGUGAGGUCAUACAGUGGCUUCUGA
Lagopus leucura (white-tailed ptarmigan) is the source of this 2496-nucleotide long non-coding RNA. RefSeq lists it as uncharacterized. The transcript is spliced from 5 exons. The record is from RefSeq and is a predicted model, not a curated record. Lineage: Eukaryota; Metazoa; Chordata; Aves; Galliformes; Phasianidae.